Molecule: RNA transcript, 5315 nt
Organism: Brachypodium distachyon (stiff brome)
Lineage: Eukaryota; Viridiplantae; Streptophyta; Magnoliopsida; Poales; Poaceae
Exons: 8
Source: RefSeq, a predicted model, not a curated record
GGGAUCUGGUAGAAACGAGCGGUACGCGGCGGCGGACGAGGAAGAGUACAAGGACAAGCCAUGGAGGCCAGCGCGGGGCUAGUUGCGGGCUCCCACAACCGCAACGAGCUCAUCGUCAUCCGCCGCGACGGCGAUCCUGCGCCGAAGCCGCUGCGGCUGCAGAACGUGAAGGUCUGCCAGAUUUGUGGCGAUGACGUCGGGCUGACUCCUGACGGCGAGCCGUUCGUGGCAUGCAACGAGUGCGCCUUCCCCGUCUGUCGCGACUGCUAUGAGUACGAGCGCCGCAAGGGCACGCAGAACUGCCCAUAGUGCAAGACCCGCUUCAAGCGCAUCAAGGGCACGCAGAACUGCCCAUAGUGCAAGACCCGCUUCAAGCGCAUCAAGGACAACAAUGCCUAGUCCCAAUUGGAUUGGGGUCAUUUGAUUCUUUCUGUUUGCUGCAGGCUGUGCGCGUGUGCCAGGGGAUGAGGAGGAGGAUGGCGGACAGGAACGACACCCAGUAUGUCACCGAGUCCAUGCUCCACGCCUGCAUGAGCUACGGCCGUGGUGGAGCUGACCUCAAUGGCCAUCAGCUUUUCCAGCCAAUCCCCAAUGUUCCCCUCCUCACCAAUGGGCAGAUGGUUGAUCACAUACCUUUUCUUGGUAAUACUAAAGAAAUUAUCCUCAAGGUUCUUAUAUCCCUUUGAACUCAAGAACGGCCCUGGCCUAUUGCCAAGUUGAACCUCCUUUGCACAUACCUCACAAAAGAUUCUAGUAAGGUAUGCGUCCCAAAGUGCCUUCUCCAUCUAUUGCAUUGACCAAUCCGUUACCAAAAAUAUAUAUACAUGGUUGCAACAUAAUUACAACGCAUCAUACAACAAGCACCCGGCAACAUUAGCGGCAUUAUCUACUAACAUCAAUACAGGAGUAUUAUGACCACCGUCAACAAAUUAACAACGACAACAUCACAGAAGUACCAUUAUAGCCAGAAAUUAUCAACAAAUACUACCAAUCAAAGCACAACGAAGCAUACAAAAUUAGAGAAAAAUAAUUACCACAACAGGCCGGCUUGGUCCGGAGGAAACGAGGACGAAGGGGGCGCUGCGGGGCGACAGAGUGAGGUCAGGCCACGGCGGGGGCAGGCGGGCGCCGGAGAGAGAUGCAGGCGGCGGCUGGAGGGCGUGAGGUCAGGCGGCGGCUGGAGGGCAGGCGGUGGCUGGAGGGCAGGCGGGGGCGGGAGGAUGCGAGGCACGUGGGGGCAGGAGGGGCCCCGGGGAAGGAGUGCGGCGGCGGGAUGGAGUGCGGCGGCUGGAGGGCAGGCGGCGGCCGGGCCAGGAGGAACGGCCAGCGGCGGCUGGAGGGCAGCGGCGGCGGGAGACCCUGCUCCAGACGGAGAUGGGAUCGAUCGACGGAGACUUGGAGAGACGGAGAGAUAUUUGACGUGGCAGAGAUGAGAGAAAUAACCGGCUGAAUUCCUUUUAGCGGGGGCAUAUGCCCGUUAAUUUCUAUCAACUUUCAGUGAACAGGGUACGUGAGUUUUCAAUAAGCCCGAGAACGAGAAGUACCUUGUGCACCUGAUUUGUCCAACAUAACUAAAAGGUUUGAACUUUGGUAAAAAAACGGGUCCAAAUUCGUUGUUUGGUUGGAUUUCAGCUUUUUUUCCAUUGAAAGCUGCUCUGAAAGCCCAAACAAAUGGAGCCUUAGAUUCUUCACUCUGUUCCUUUAGUUGAGUAUUAAUCGAAAUAUUACAUGUAUCUAGACGCUUUGAGACAAAUAGUAUGGGUCGGAGGGAGUAUUUUUUUUCUUUGUUGGAAAGAAUAGAAUGAUUUUAACUUGGUGUUUGGUUGCAAAAUGAAAACAAUUCCAGAUUUUGUUUAGUCCGAGGAAUAGGAUGGAACAGCAUUUUGUUAUCCUCUUAGAUUAUCUCUAGGUCUAAUGAAUUUUAAUCAUGAUUUUUUUAUACUUUCUUAUUUUCACAAAGGUUAUCGUAUUUGGUUAGUGUCAAGACAAUUCUUUGAUCAAAAAUUACCAGGCUAAUAUAUGUUUUUAAGAAAUGCAAUUUAUAUCAAUAAAUUUCUCUUCAAAAGUUCUUAUUAAUAAUUGUAAUUUUCUAUCAUACAAAUUACUUAUUAAUAAAGUUAUUAGUUGUCAGAGUCAUCUUAACGAAACCAAAUAUGAUAACCUUUAAGGAGGGGAGUAGCUUUUAACAAUUUGGUCAAAUUUUCGGUCACAUCCUAUAUACUUAUACAACUCAUCCUCACUAAGUAUUUUCCUUACACAAGGAACCAUGUCAUAUAAUCGGUUUGUCCACAGAUACAUAGUGGUGAUCCCAUCACUAAACAUUGAUCCUAGGGGUGAAACCGGACCGCAUAAUUUCCGGCCGAAUCCGGUUCCAGAUCCAGUCGGAUAGGAUAUGGAAGAUGAAGAGUCCGUUUGGUUCCCGGGCAAAAGCUAAACUAGCCUGCCCAGCAAGGCCCGACGUUUGGAACCCAAAAAAAAUCCUAGCUAUUCAGGGCGAGCUAGCCCGACCGGGUGAGAAAAUCCUUGCCCACGAAGGAGAGCGAGAUCGGCUCGUCUCCGACGGCAAGAAAACGAUUCGCGCGAAAAAAAAAGUCACCGCUCCUCACGGAACCCAUGACCUCAUCCUCAACAGCUCGUACCGAUUCCUCCGCUUGCCUGGAUCUUCUCCUCCGUCUCGAUCCCUCCUCGCCUGGAUCUUCGAUUCGCCUCUCCAUCCCAAUUCCUACUCUUCUGCUUGCCUGGAUUUUCGAUUCUCCUCUCCAUCCCGAGUCCUCCUCUUCCCUGGAUCUGCGCCAUGGACUUGGUGCUCUCCCCCCCCCCCCCUAAAUAGAAACAGUCGCUGCUCUAAUUCAUCGCCAAGAUUGGGGCUGGAGUUGAAGAAUUACACAAAAUCGGUCAGCUCAUCUGUCUGGAAUCUUCUACGAGACCAGCUGCAAUUAGCAGCCCAAUCCUUCAGGUUCGCUCACAUAUCCCACAUGUUUUUUUGUCUAUUUUCUGUGAUUGAGGUUGAUGGCCAUCGGUCUAGUGUAUUUGCUCUCUGUCUCUCUUUAUUUAUUGUUGGCUGUAGUACCUACAUCUGAAACUAAAAGUGCGUGUUAAUUAGUACUGGUUGGAUGUGUUAAUUAGUACUAGUUGGAUGUUCUCUGAUGCUGUAGUUUAAGGUAUGCAUACAUCAACUUCGUUAUGAGCGCAAGAAUUGAAAUGUAAACCACCGAAUUUUUCUUCCUUUUAAAUCAACAUUGCCUUGUCUAAUAUUUUCUGUGAUUUUGUACAGUACUGGUAACACUCUGUGUAACCUAUGUUCAGGUUUCAGUUCAUCAUAGAUGGACGACAGGGCAGAAAUUAAUAGAAAAGUUGCAUUCUUCGGUGCAUUUUUAGUGGCAUACUGGACAUUUAUCAUGUAUCUACGCAAUUCUAGUGACCCCGUAAGAUAUUCAUUGCUAGAGAAAAAUAAAGAAAGGAUGGCAUAUCUACGGAAAUUAUACUGUGGUGAGGAUCUUCAAACUAUGUCAUAAGUUAUGAAGUUUGGGAUCACUUAAGGAUACUUGGCACUGUACCGUAGACGAACAAAUUGCCAUGUUUCUCACUACAGUAGGGCAUCAUAAGAAAAAUAUCCAUAUCAGUUUUCAUUUCACGAGAUCCGACGAGACAGUGAGUCGUUACUUCAAUCAAGUGUUAUUUGCAAUUGGACAACUUGGACCAGAAAUGCUUAGACAUCGCACUUCGACAUACCAUCCAAAAUUCAAGGCAAUCCACGAUUUGAUCCCUAUUUUAAGGACUGCAUUGGAGCUAUUGAUGGAACCCAUGUUCCAUGCAACGUUCCAUCACGAAUGUGCUAGGUGGGAGGGUUCAGCACACGAUUCAACCGUUCUAAGACAUUCUUUUGAGCAUCCAAAUGGCCUCCGAGUCCUGGAAGGUAAGUAUUAUCUUGCGGAUGCUGGGUAUGCAGCAAAGAGAGGAUUCCUACCACCUUUCCGCCAAACUCGAUAUCACUUGCGUGAGUGGAGGGGGAAUAGAGCCCGUACACCAAAUGAACUUUUCAACUUAAGGCACUCAUCUCUCUGUACUACCGUUGAGAGAGCAUUUGGAACUUUAAAGAAUCGAUUCAAAGUUCUUACAACUAGACCUUAUUAUCCUUUUCCUUCCCAAGUACGACUUGUUAUAGCAUGUUGCAUCCUUCACAAUUGGAUAUUGCUAAAGGGAGGACCCGAUGAGCUAGUCUAUAGUGAGCAGAACUGGUUCGAUCAUUAUCCAAGAUCAGCUGGCCGUGUCCAACGAGAUUUGCAUGAGGAACAAAGGCAAGUUCUGCAAGAGAGGGACACCAUGGCAGAUAGCAUGUGGAGAAACAGACAUAAUGGAACAAUGUGGUGUGGCAGCCCCAGGUUGUGAAAGAAAUGCUUAGAUAUUACAAGGAGAAAAUCCAGGCUGAGGGGAGACAACUUGUAUUUAAAGAGACACAUCAUGAGGAGUGUGCAAAACAAAUAAAUGCAAAGUUUUCCACAAACUUCACACACCGGCAAGUUUACCACAAAUUCCACAAGUUGAAAGGUCAGUGGAAGGUUAUUCUAGAGGCAAAGAGCUUAAGUGGCGCCAAUUUUGAUGAUGUCCAUAAGAUCAUACUAUAUGAUGAGACUGAAGUCGUCCGGAUGAAAAAUGACAAAGACAAAAGGGCAAAAUACAUAAAUGUGCCCAUUAGUUGUUUUGAUGAGAUGGAAUCUAUAUUUCAAGACAAGCAUGCCAUGGGCGAAUUCACGGUCCCGCAAACACCAUUUGAGAACACAUGUGCUAAAGACAACGAUUUCAUCGGUGAUAAGAGUGCAACCAAUGGUGAGGCUGAUCCUGGUACACACUACGACUCAGAUUGCCUUCCUGAGGAGUCGAACAAUGAAGGUAACUCUUCAAAGCGUGCUACAGGUGGCAAGCGUGAUAAAGGUAAAAGGGUGAGGCGUGAUGAUGUGGUUGAAGACAUGACACGCUCUCUACGUGGUAUGUCCGAAACCAUGCGAUUUCACGCAUGCCACCCACCCAAAUGAGAAUUUAUUCAAAAUCAUUGAUGAUAUGGAGAGGAGUACCCUCUCUUGAUGCGACUCGCCCUACAAACAGCUUUAGCCACCAACGGAGAUGUUGCUGCCAUGCUAAAGGGAAGACCAAUGCCUUCGAUCCAAGAGUAUGUGAGGCAAUGGAUGCAACAAAAUUCAUCUUCGAUUUAAUAUGUUUUUAGCCAAACUUUAGGAUAAUAAUUUGUUCUUGGUAGCCUUUUUUCCUUGAAGGGAAAUAACACCCUUGCAUGAUGCGUAAUUUGAUUCAGUCUGUAA